GAGUAACGCGUAAGUAAUCUACCCUGGUAUCUGGGAUAACCCACCGAAAGGUGUGCUAAUACCGGAUACGCUGAUUUAUCAGGAAAGGUGGCCUCUUCAUGAAAGCUACUGUACCAGGAGGAGCUUGCGUACCAUUAGCUAGUUGGUAGGGUAAUGGCCUACCAAGGCAACGAUGGUUAGCGGGUCUGAGAGGAUGAUCCGCCACACUGGAACUGGAACACGGACCAG
This 228-nucleotide ribosomal RNA is filed under the name uncultured bacterium. Its description in RNAcentral is "partial 16S ribosomal RNA". It matches the Rfam family "Bacterial small subunit ribosomal RNA", at positions 108 to 334 of the family's 1533-position model. The record is from RNAcentral.